Molecule: ribosomal RNA, 426 nt
Filed under: Campylobacter gracilis
Lineage: Bacteria; Pseudomonadati; Campylobacterota; Epsilonproteobacteria; Campylobacterales; Campylobacteraceae
Description: bacterial SSU rRNA
Rfam family: Bacterial small subunit ribosomal RNA
Source: RNAcentral
AGUGAACGCGGGCGGCGUGCCUAAUACAUGCAAGACGAACGGAAUUUAAAAGAGCUUGCUCUUUUAAAUUUAGUGGCGCACGGGUGAGUAAUAUAUAGCUAAUCUGCCCCUUGCUGGAGGACAACAGUUAGAAAUGACUGCCAAUACUCCAUACUCCUUUUUACCAUAAGAUAAAUCGGGAAAGAAUUUCGGCAAGGGAUGAGACUAUAUCGUAUCAGCUAGUCGGUGGGGUAACGGCCUACCGAGGCUAUGACGCGUAACUGGUCUGAGAGGAUGAUCAGUCACAUUGGAACUGAGACACGGUCCAAACUCCUACGGGAGGCAGCAGUAGGGAAUAUUGCGCAAUGGGGGAAACCCUGACGCAGCAACGCCGCGUGGAGGAUGACACUUUUCGGAGCGUAAACUCCUUUUGUUAGGGAAGAAUAA